CAAUUCUCAGGUUGAUGUGACAUUGACAGAUCUACGUGGCAUAGCUCUUGAUUCAUGACAUGUACACAGGUACAUGUCAAUCAUCAUAAUUAGAAUUAUUGUCAUUGUACAAAAUUAAGAUUAUUUUUUUUUCAAAAUUAAGAUUAUUAAUGUUUAUCCUGGUCUACAUCGCCAAGAGUAAAAAAAAGGCAUAUCUUUUGGACCUAUCUACAACAUGAAAAUGACUCUGAGUGAGGAUCUUUCUAUAGAAUCUUAAGAUACAUAAGCAUACAGAUAAAUAUUGAAAACAAGGGAAAUCUUACAACUACCCCAUAAACUUUCCAGAAGCAAACAUUGAAAGAUUCAACACAGAAGCACUUUACUUCUAGGGGAGAAAGGAAAAAAUCAUUCUUUUUUAAGAUGUACUCCUGGUCCUCUCAUCAUUGAGCAUAUAUUCCCCAAGUUCAGGAAAGGGACGUUCUCUGAAGUCCAGGACUAUGGCGCCAGCAGACUGGGUAUGGCAGCUGGAAUCUGCCUCAGUCAACUAAUCCCUAAGAGCUGAAGAAGAACACGUUUCUCAGAUUAAUUCAGAGACUGUGGAGAGAAGGGUUAUGAAAUCUGCUAAUCUUAUUGGAUUUGGGAGCCAAUGUCCAGUCGGGAGCUAGUUACAGAAAAAGGAUCUAUUUGAGGAAAGAUGGAGAUUUUUUUUCAAAGUAAACUGCAUGUUCUGUCACUGUGAAAAUUAUAGCUGUACCUUAAAAGAUAGUAAACUUCUCAUGACCACCUUAUUUUAAAUAAUUCUUAAAUGUAAAUCCUCUAAUCCUUCAUGAUAGCAUUUGCCUAUGCUGAAAUACCUGUUAGUUUUUUGUAAAAUAUGCAUAACUGAUAAGAUUCUAUCUUACUGAUUGGUAGAAAAGUAAUACCCUCACUUAGGAUUUGUGACCAAUCUGAACAAGUCACACAUCUGAAAUGGGAUGAGAAUCAACACAUCAGAUGUAUUUCUGAAUGUUUAACUGUAACAUCUCCAUUAAAUUUGGAGAAGAAAAUCUAUCAUAUUUAAUUUAAAUUUUGCACCUGGACUCCAUCUGAUAAAAUAAAUACACAGAAUCUUAUGAAUGAAAAGUUUUUAACAUUUUUUAGUAGUUUCUUAUGUUUUCCACUGGUUUAUUCAUUCUUUUUCUUUUAACAAAAAUGAAGUAAAAAUGGGUAAUUCCGUGUCAUUUUGUUUUUACUCUGUUUCCUACAGGUCAUAUUCAGAACUGACUAAGCACCAUAAGUGUUCAACAGAUUUUGAUCUUAUUUUUAUCACAUGCCUCAUAAAACUGAUUUAGAAACCUAAAAAUGUGUCACUAAAAUAUUGAAUUAUGAACAGUCAGAGCUUAUUGAAUUUCCCAAAUCUAACGAGAAUGGUUAGCUAU
Long non-coding RNA from Canis lupus familiaris (dog), 1397 nucleotides. RefSeq lists it as uncharacterized. The transcript is spliced from 6 exons. The record is from RefSeq and is a predicted model, not a curated record. NCBI's taxonomy places the organism in Eukaryota, Metazoa, Chordata, Mammalia, Carnivora, Canidae.